This is a long non-coding RNA of Rhinolophus ferrumequinum (greater horseshoe bat), 1860 nucleotides long. RefSeq lists it as uncharacterized. Lineage: Eukaryota; Metazoa; Chordata; Mammalia; Chiroptera; Rhinolophidae. The record is from RefSeq and is a predicted model, not a curated record. The transcript has 3 exons.
GGGAGACAAAGGGACCGAGGCCACCGACUAACAAUGGCUGUGCCAGAGACAAGCUGCAGCGCGGUGGCUCAGGAUGCAACCUGUGCAGGCAGUGGCAGCAUUGCCGGGCCCUGCUCUGCCCUUUCAUAGCUCAGCGCAUGCACUAAGAGGGAUCCGUUUUAUGGAGGAGAACACGGAGCUAAGAGAAACUCAGCCAACGUCCUCUGGCUUCCAAGGGGUGAUGUAAGGGUGAAACUUGGUAGAUCAAGCUCUUGAGACGCUGGUCUAGGGUCUCUUCCCUGCGGGACCUUCUCAACACUCCCUGCCGACCUCAAGACAUCUUAAGAUCCAGUGUGGAAAGGAUCCUAUACCGUGAUUCUUUCUACUCCCACAGCAGUAAAAGUCCCAGAAUUUGACUCCUGGAUUCACUACUCUUGAGUCAAGCCCUGCACGAGUGCACCCACACAAACAGAAAAAAAAGACAAAAGUCCUAAGUAUUCCAGUCAACCUCCAGAGGACCGACCUAAAACUUCCUCUACGCCAUACAGAUAAGUACUCAGAUGACACCGUCUAGUUUCAAAAAGACCGUAUUAGGGGGCUUCAUUCUUCUGACUGCUGCUUUCAUUCUCCUUUUUGCUGCAUCUGUUAUGUGUGUUGUCCUAGAUUCAGCCCCUCCUUCCUGCCAUUACUUACCUUGGGCUGGGCUGAGCCUAGGAAUAGUUUGUGUUAUUUUCACAGGCUAUAUUUUAAUUGGCCUUUGGAGAUUUUCUGACAUCUAACAUACCAUUAACAAUUACUACAUAAUGUUUUGUCAAGUUUUACUCUUUUUAAUAAUGCUUCCAAAUGGGGUUCCAGAGGGCCUCAUACCAUUCCAAAGAAACAAAAACUUAUGGGUUUACUUAGCCAAACAUAUAAUGAGUGUAUGAGACUUUAGCCUUAAAGGAGGAACUUAUGUUGAACAAACUUUUACCUUCUGUCUAGUUGGCGUCUGCACCCUCUUAAGUUAUAUAAAGAAUUAUACCACCCUCUGAUACAUUGAUAAGCCCAUAUCUUACUCCAAUAUCUAUAAUUGGAGUCCCACUACCACCCCAAAAACCUGUUCUCUCUACAGGUUAGAACUGUAACUCCAGCUGAUCACUGUGUUAUUUUCACCGGCUGCCCCAACUAAUGUUUUGAUCUUUUGACCGAUGAUGGCCUUAACUGCAGCUCUACCACUUCUAUGAUUUAUGCCAAUGCACAUGUUAAAUUACCUGCUGGAUGGUUUCUUCUCUGUGGGAGGGUUACCUACUCCUAUGUUUCAGCUUAUAGCACCGGGGGACCCUGCUCUCUCGGAAGAUUAACUUUUUUUUAACCCCAAAAGCCUCGUCAGGUUAGACAUCGCAGAGAACUUGCUCUAGAUCCCAGCUGCAACAGUGAUGUACAUUUAUUUAGUCCAGCUGAAUAUGUUUCUUUGUCUCUCUUUAUAGUACCUGCCAUGAGUAUAGCCUUAAAUGUAGAGAUUAGUCACAUUGCUUGUUCAAUGGCAAAGGCCCUAAAUGCUAUUUCACAGUCUAUACACGCCAUAGGCCAAGAGUUAGGACAAGUCAGAGAAGUAGUUCUCGAGAACCAAGCUGCCAUAGACUACCUACUCCUCAAAUAUAAUCAAGGAUGUGAACAUUUUAAAGGAUUAUGCUGCUUCAAUCUUUCCGAUAAUUCUCAUUUAAUAGAAGAUAAGGUACAACAAAUCCAUAACAUAGUUUCCAAUAUUAAACAACAGACAGGAUUCUUUGGCUUAGAUUUAUCCUUCCUUACUUCCUGGCUUCAUAGCUUAACAGGACUUAAAGAAGCCUUUCUUAUAUUUCUCUUAUUCAUUAUUGUAGGAAUUUUGUCUUGCUGCUGCCU